RNAcentral lists this ribosomal RNA (321 nucleotides) under Triticum aestivum (bread wheat). Its description in RNAcentral is "partial small subunit ribosomal RNA". The record is from RNAcentral. Lineage: Eukaryota; Viridiplantae; Streptophyta; Magnoliopsida; Poales; Poaceae.
AUGCUAGGAGAACCGGAACAUCACAGAGUACUACUGACUAACCCCAAAACAGAGCAUCACAGCAAAAAACUUCACCAGGGGCCAUCCAUACACUUAACCCACCAUCUCGAGAUAUUAAUUCUCAUGGGUAAAAAGCAAGAAAGAAGAACAGAUCGCCUAGGGCGUGGUCUGCUUGUACUUGGGCACCUCAGUGAGCAUCUUGUCCGCACUAGAGUCACCAUGUUGCCUAUAAUUCGAUCAAGACAAAUACAAUCAGUAUCAGGAUCAAAGGUUCGGAACAAGAAUAGUGCAGGCAUUUGUGCUACAAAAACAAGGAGAUGA